UCAGAUCCAGCAUGUGGUUGGC
RNAcentral lists this non-coding RNA (22 nucleotides) under Arabidopsis thaliana (thale cress). The record is from RNAcentral. Lineage: Eukaryota; Viridiplantae; Streptophyta; Magnoliopsida; Brassicales; Brassicaceae.